GCAUACGAUCUAAUCUCGGCAUCGAGGAUAGAUGAAAGGUGGCCUCUACAUGUAAGCUAUCACUGAAGGAGGGGAUUGCGUCUGAUUAGCUAGUUGGAGGGGUAACGGGCCCACCAAGGCGAUGAUCAGUAGCCGGUCUGAGAGGAUGAACGGCCACAUUGGGACUGAGACACGGCCCAGACUCCUACGGGAGGCAGCAUG
RNAcentral lists this ribosomal RNA (201 nucleotides) under uncultured bacterium. RNAcentral describes it as "partial 16S ribosomal RNA". It matches the Rfam family "Bacterial small subunit ribosomal RNA", at positions 171 to 353 of the family's 1533-position model. The record is from RNAcentral.